Molecule: long non-coding RNA, 718 nt
Organism: Hipposideros armiger (great roundleaf bat)
Lineage: Eukaryota; Metazoa; Chordata; Mammalia; Chiroptera; Hipposideridae
Exons: 5
Source: RefSeq, a predicted model, not a curated record
CGAGGAGCCUGUCGUUCUUUUGCUUCCGCGCCGUCUCCGUUUCUGGGUGUUUGUCCUCAUGCGUCCUCCGCAUCAGAUGUCGUCCCGCCCCGGGAACUUACUGCUCUGUGGGAUUGGCGCGAUCAGAGGGCGCAGAAUGGAUCUUGGCCGCGAGGAUCGUGCCUGGGCCGCCAGGGGAACUCUAUGUAGACAUCUAGAACCUUGCGCGUCUUCACCGCUGGUGUAAGCAUUUGUUCCCCGGCCUAUUGCAGGAGACGCAUGCUCUGAUGAUCCUCUGUUUGCUAGCGGAACUUGGAAACGUAGCUAGUUUUUGUGAAGCCCAGUUUUAGGUACUAGGUGUUAAAGCGUUCUGGAUGCUUCACUUUAUUGCAAUUCUCAGAAAUGGACUCAUUAGACUUAAUGUUGCUGAUGAAGAAAAAAGCUUUAAGAGACAUAAUUGCCUGAAGUGGAAUAAUCUCUUUAAGGGUUUACGGAUGGCAGAAAGCAAACUUUGAGUGGACCAGGAUGAAUCCAUGAGUAGCAAAGGAUUGGUCGGAAGCCCUGUGUGCUACUCGGCAGCAAGUAGGUUGAUUGUAGCCUGCUCGUCCGCUUGGCUUGGUUCAGUCGGUCCUGUAACAGGAGUUUCUUGCCGGUGGAGUUGGAAUACAAGGCCUCUAGAAAAAGAUUGACACCCUGUAUUUUCCUGAAAAAGCACAAUACAACUUAGUAGCCUUCCUCU